GUCUCUGUGGUCUAGUGGUUAAGGCACCGGCGUUAAAAGCUGGGGGCCCGGGUUCGAUUCCCGGCAGACUGAGACA
Non-coding RNA from Lytechinus variegatus (green sea urchin), 76 nucleotides. The record is from the annotation of a RefSeq genome assembly. NCBI's taxonomy places the organism in Eukaryota, Metazoa, Echinodermata, Echinoidea, Temnopleuroida, Toxopneustidae.